UGCAGCCUACGGGAGGCAGCAGUGGGGAAUAUUGGACAAUGGGGGGAACCCUGAUCCAGCGACGUCGCGUGAGGGAAGACGGUCCUAUGGAUUGUAAACCUCUUUAGGCGGGGAGCAAUGCCGGGCACGCGUGCCCGGAGGGAGAGUACCCGCAGAAUAAGCAUCGGCUAACUCCGUGCCAGCAGCCGCGGUAAUACGGAGGAUGCGAGCGUUAUCCGGAUUUAUUGGGUUUAAAGGGUGCGUAGGCGGAUUUUUAAGUCAGCGGUAAAAUGUCCGGGCUCAACCCGGGCCGGCCGUUGAAACUG
This 305-nucleotide ribosomal RNA is filed under the name uncultured bacterium. RNAcentral's name for it is "bacterial SSU rRNA". It matches the Rfam family "Bacterial small subunit ribosomal RNA", at positions 333 to 635 of the family's 1533-position model. The record is from RNAcentral.